GCCAGGCGCAGUGGCGCGUGCCUGUAGUCCCAGCUACCAGGGCGGCUGAGGUGGGAGGAUCUCUUGAGCCCAGGAGUUCUGGGCUGUAGUGCACUAUGCCAAUCCGGUGUCCGCACUAAGUUCAGCAUCAAUAUGGUGACCUCCCGUGAGCGCGGGACCACCACGUUGCCUAAGGAGGGGUGAAUCGGCCCAGGUCGGAAUGGAGCAAGUCAAAACUCCCAUGCUGAUCAGUAGUGGGAUCGCACCUGUGAACAACAGCCACUGCAGUGCAGCCUGGGCAACAUAGCAAGACCCCGUCUCAA
Unclassified non-coding RNA from Callithrix jacchus (white-tufted-ear marmoset), 302 nucleotides. It matches the Rfam family "Metazoan signal recognition particle RNA". From Rfam's summary of the family: The signal recognition particle (SRP) is a universally conserved ribonucleoprotein. It is involved in the co-translational targeting of proteins to membranes. NCBI's taxonomy places the organism in Eukaryota, Metazoa, Chordata, Mammalia, Primates, Cebidae. The record is from Ensembl.